Molecule: ribosomal RNA, 1408 nt
Filed under: uncultured Rhizaria
Lineage: Eukaryota
Description: SSU rRNA
Rfam family: Eukaryotic small subunit ribosomal RNA
Source: RNAcentral
CGGAGAGGGCGCAUGAGAAACGGCUACCACUUCUAAGGAAGGCAGCAGGCGCGCAAAUUACCCAAUCCUGACUCAGGGAGGUAGUGACAAGAAAUAACAAUAAACCGGCUUAUGCCGGUUUAAUUGGAAUGAGUACAAUUUGAACAUCUUAACGAGGAACAAUUGGAGGGCAAGUCUGGUGCCAGCAGCCGCGGUAAUUCCAGCUCCAAUAGCGUAUACUAAAGUUGUUGCAGUUAAAAAGCUCGUAGUUGGAUUUCUGCGGGGACGGAGCGGCCGGACGCAACUUGCGUCUCGAGCUAGCGCUUUCCCCGCAUCCUGCCGCGAACCGUGCUACCAUUAGCUUGGUGGCGCUGGGGAUCGGCUCGAUUACUUUGAGAAAAAUAGAGUGUUCAAAGCAGGCCACACGCCUUGAAUAAGUUAGCAUGGAAUAAUGACUAAGGACUUCGGUUCUAUUUUGUUGGUGUUCGGGACUGAAGUAAUGAUUGAUAGGGACAGUUGGGGCGGUCUGUAUUCCAAAGCGAGAGGUGAAAUUCUUAGACCUUCGGAAGACAAACAGCUGCGAAAGCGUUCCGCAAGGAUGUUCCCUUUGAUCAAGAACGAAAGUUGGGGGAUCGAAGACGAUCAGAUACCGUCGUAGUCUCAACUAUAAACUAUACCAGCUAGGGAUCGGUCAACGUUUAAUCAUUCGACUUGAUCGGCACCUUAUGAGAAAUCAAAGCAUCUGGGUUCCGGGGGGAGUAUGGUCGCAAGGCUGAAACUUAAAGGAAUUGACGGAAGGGCACCACCAGCCGUGGAGCCUGUGGCUUAAUUUGACUCAACACGGGAAAACUUACCAGGUCCAGACAUAGUAAGGAUUGACAGAUUGAUAGCUCUUUCUUGAUUCUGUGGGUGGUGGUGCAUGGCCGUUCUUAGUUGGUGGAGUGAUUUGUCUGGUUAAUUCCGUUAACGAACGAGACCCCAGCCUGCUAAAUAGCGCGGCUGAGCUUUGCUCGGUGCGAGCUUCUUAGAGGGACUAUGAUGCGCGAUAGCACAUGGAAGUUUGGGGCAAUAACAGGUCUGUGAUGCCCUUAGAUGUUCUGGGCCGCACACGGGCUACACUGGCGCCUGCAACGAGCAUAUCAGCUGGCCCGAGAGGGUCUUGGCUAAUCUUUUGAACCGGCGCCGUGCUUGGGAUUGACCAUUGCAAUUGUUGGUCAUGCAACGAGGAAUGCCUUGUAAACGCGAGUCAUCAGCUCGCAUUGAAUACGUCCCUGCCCUUUGUACACACCGCCCGUCGCUCCUACCGAUGAAUGUUCCGAUGAAAUUUUCGGAGAGCGCCAGAGAACGGGGCUCUGCCCUGCAGAACUGGAGGCUCAAAGUCACUUAAAUCUGAACAUUUCGAGGAAGGAGAAGUCGUAACAAGGUAACC